RNAcentral lists this ribosomal RNA (417 nucleotides) under uncultured bacterium. RNAcentral describes it as "bacterial SSU rRNA". It matches the Rfam family "Bacterial small subunit ribosomal RNA", at positions 362 to 776 of the family's 1533-position model. The record is from RNAcentral.
UAUUGGUCAAUGGGCGGGAGCCUGAACCAGCCAAGUCGCGUGAGGGAUUAAGGCCCUACGGGUCGUAAACCUCUUUUGCCGGGGAGCAGGGCGGCGGACGUGUCCGCCGCUUGCGCGUACCCGGAGAAUAAGCACCGGCUACCUUCGUGCCAGCAGCCGCGGUAACACGGAGGAUGCGAGCGUUAUCCGGAUUUAUUGGGUUUAAAGGGUGCGUAGGCGGGCUUUUAAGUCAGCGGUAAAAAUUCGGGGCUCAACCCCGUCCGGCCGUUGAAACUGGGGGCCUUGAGUGGGCGAGAAGAAGGCGGAAUGCGUGGUGUAGCGGUGAAAUGCAUAGAUAUCACGCAGAACCCCGAUUGCGAAGGCAGCCUUCCGGCGCCCUACUGACGCUGAGGCACGAAAGUGCGGGGAUCGAACAGG